Molecule: long non-coding RNA, 1330 nt
Filed under: Theobroma cacao (cacao)
Lineage: Eukaryota; Viridiplantae; Streptophyta; Magnoliopsida; Malvales; Malvaceae
Description: long non-coding RNA (TCAC_LNC003427)
Source: RNAcentral
AAUGAAGUAAGUUUCUCGAUUUUGUACUGUGUUAAGGUGGUGAGUCCUCCAAUAAAGGCAGGGGAAUUGCACCCGAGGACUAGUAAUCUGAGUACUUCAAAAAUCCCCAUUCUAGACAUUGUGAGUAACCUUAUCAUCAUUUUAAUUAUCUAAAGUAUGUUUUAACUCGGUUUUGGUGAAAUUUUAUGAAAAUGAGUUAAAUGACAAAUUUUAGGUUUUAUAAACAAAAAUGUGUUUAAAUGAAAAGAUUUUAUAAAUUGUCUUGAAACGAAAUAACGAUUUUGAAAAUAAAGCAAUUGGAGACCACCGGUAUGUUGUAAAUUUAUGAUUGGAAAUUGAUGGCUUAUGUUAUAUUGUUAUUGUGUUGGCAUGACUGGCUGGGCUGUGUUUUUGAAUUGUAUGAAUUGUUUAUUUUACCCUUACAAGCUGGGUAGUAAAAUAUUAACCCUGUCAUGCUGUCAAAAUUUUAUUGUAUGGUGGGUUUAGCUUGCUGCAGUAGGCAGAUUCUGUGGACCAGCCUAUUAGAGGAGCACAGAAUUCAAAUAUAUAUAUAGGUACCUCGGUCAGAGAGGCUCGUAGGGUAUCUCUUGAGGUAUAGUUAGAGUUCACGUCACGCCAAAUCACCUCGUGAUGAUGAACUUCGCUAACGCCAAGGAACGGCUGUGUUUUUCAAACUAAUAAUUUGUUUACGUGUAUACGAAAUUUUUAAUAGCCUUGGCGGACUCGGUUAGAUGCCUCGGCCAAGGUAUCCCCGAGAAUGAUUUUGGGAGGAGCCAAGCUUUUAAAAUACUCAUAAGUCAUGUUGAUUAUUUAAAUGAAAUGAGUAUUUAUGUUAUGAAAAACAUAUUUAAAUAAAAUAUUUUAAUAGUCUCCUUUUACUCGACUUUAGAUCUUGUGAAUGAUGUUUGUUUACUCACUGGGAUUAUAAAAUCUCACCACUCUCCUUUCCACCCAUUUCAAGUUCAAAAUAGGCUGUAGAUAGCUGAUAUCAUCAAGGACUACCGUUGGAAUUGCAUUUUCCAAACUAUAGGUUCACAGUCCUCUUUACUUUUGCUUAUUCGAGGGCCCACUUGUUAUUGUAAAUUAAAUUAAAUACUCUGACUUAUUGUAUUACAGUAUGUAUGAAAUUAUUUAGCUUUUACGCUGCAAAAAUUAUUUACGUAUAACUCUAUAAAUAUUGUUUUAUAAGAAAAUAGAAUAUUUUACUUAAUAUUUCUUUUAUUUUUUUAUUAUAUCCAAAUAAUCGAAAUUUCAUUUUAAAUGAAGAUUUUAGACUUUAAAACUCAUUUUUUAUUAUGAAUUAUGUGUUUUGUACUCGCUUAUUACAUUU